UCGAUGCUGCGUGGUACGAGAUACAUAUACAUCCCUUUGGCCAAUAAUAUCUUCUAGGGAGCUGUCCCUGCCGGAGCCUUGGUUUCGGUAUAUGGCGCCCACCUGCUAACGCGGGCCUUAGAGGAUGACACGUUGACCGGCUAUCGCGGCAUCACC
Molecule: non-coding RNA, 156 nt
Filed under: Alphaproteobacteria bacterium
Lineage: Bacteria; Pseudomonadati; Pseudomonadota; Alphaproteobacteria
Description: 6S RNA
Rfam family: 6S / SsrS RNA
About the family: E. coli 6S RNA was the first non coding RNA to be sequenced, but its function was unknown until recently. It consists of 184 nucleotides that fold into an extended hairpin structure with a large single-stranded internal bulge.
Source: RNAcentral